This is a long non-coding RNA of Ictalurus punctatus (channel catfish), 2827 nucleotides long. Lineage: Eukaryota; Metazoa; Chordata; Actinopteri; Siluriformes; Ictaluridae. The record is from Ensembl.
CCACUUGAUGCAAAACAUGCCAAAAUUGUGGUGUUGCUCUUAUUAAGGGGUUCUUCUAUGCAACCCUUCUAAAGAGAUUUUCAUUAUGGUGGUAUAGUUCAAACUUUUUGAUUGUGGUUUUUUUUUUUUUUUUUUUAUCAGUGAAAUUCUCUAAACUUCAUUCUGAUAAUAGUUCAGUAUUAUACAUCUGUAUUUGAUUUUAAACCUGUAAGCAAAUACAGCCCUUAUAUUUGAACUGCCUGCUCAUGCAACACAAGGAUCACACCCAAACCAACAGAUGCAAAACAACAAAGGACCAUUUUGCAUCAAGUUGAAAGCAAAUUUUCACAUGAGAUCUUUAUACACAGGUUAUGCAACUUUAGAAUUUAUGAUACCAGCUACAAAGAAUGUUGUUAGAAUGUAUCUGACAAACGAGCUUUUAUAACAUUAACUUUAAAUGGCAUAUGUUGAAUCUAUGUUAAAAUAUGAACUAGCAUUACAGAAAACAGGCUAAACUAUUAACUAGCAUUACAGAAAACAGGUUAAAAUAUGAACUAGCAUUACAGAAAACAGGUUAAAAUAUGAACUAGCAUUACAGAAAACAGGCUAAAAUAUGAACUAGCAUUACAGAAAACAGGCUAAAAUAUGAACUAGCAUUACAGAAAACAGGCUAAACCAUUAACUAACAUUACAGAAAACAGGUUAAAAUAUGAACUAGCAUUACAGUACACAAACUUAACCAUGAAUUAGCAUUACACAUAACAAACUAAACCAUGAACUACUAUUAUAGCAAACAGGCUAAACCAUAACCUAGCAUUACAAUAAAAAGGCAAAAUCUAUGGACUAGCAUUAUAGUAAACAGUUCAAAUAUGAACGAGUAAUCAAUGACCUAACAUUACAACAAAUCAUUAAAUCAUGAACUAGCAUUUUAGUAAACUGGCUAAACUAUGGGCUAGCAUUAUACUAAACAGCUAACAUAUAAACAUGAAUUUCUUAGUGAGAUUUUGUAGCAAAAAUACACAUCUAGCUUAAUACACUGGCAUUUUAAACUUCUGAAAACCACAAGAUGUGAAAUUACUUAAUUUACAAAUCAUUCUUGAUGACUCAUAAAACAAACAGUCAAUAUGUUGUUAUUAUCAAGAAAUUAAUGGAUAAACACCAACACCAAGCUAAUGGGUAGUUGGCCAGGGAUGGGGGGAGGUCAUAUUUUCUCUUCACUUUGCUUCCUCAAGCAAAACAAAAGUGUGCCAUUACUGUGGACUAUAAAUGUGUGUUCAUGUGAAUGUAAAAUUCCACUACAACUCGACACACAAUUUCCACACUCUGUUUUCAAGAAAAUGUUUCCUUUUGCCACUUUUGCCUUCGCAAACAUCAAACAUCAGGAGCAUCUGAGGCCCUUCCACAGGCCUGACAAUGUGACCUAGUAAUACAAUAUCACUUCAUUAAAACUGUGCACACAUGCUCACAAACAGUUGUUCUUUAAUCUUCUACCAACUGUUUGGUAUUUGUUGGACAGAUAAAGCAUAUGAGAUAUAGACAUAACUGACCAACAAUAAUAUUUGUGCUCAGUAAAUCCACAUCAUUCAAAUGUUGUUUACUGCAGUAAUACAUCAUAAAUCACAAUGCUGAAUAGAGUUCCUGGUGCUAACUUUUGAUCUAAAGGAAUACAGCCAGGUUUGUUAACCUCACUGCAUGGCUAUCGUUACACCUAGCUUGCACAACAACACAAGCUUCAACAAACCAUGAAGCUUAAAAAUGAACCAUGAAGCAGUUACAUGAUCUGAAGUCAUGAUCAGGUAACUACCUGACAACAAUAAAAAUUUAACUUGUGUAAUAGACCAGAGAUCUUUUGAAAUCCAUUAAUUGAUGCGUAGUGACUCUGAAAAUUAGCAUACAGUCUUCUGUCAAACUGCUGGAACGGCAAGGCCAGUUCAUUUAUUUUUGCUGUAGACUGAACACAUCUGGCCUUGAGAUCAAAAGAUGAAUAUGAGAAGAGAGUUUAGAAUUUCAGCUUUUAUUUCCUGGUACUUACAACCCCAAUUCCAAAAAAGUUGGGACACUGUGUAAAAUGUACAUAAAUGUAAAUAAAAACAGAAUGCAAAGAUUUGCAAAUCCCAUAAACCCAUAUGUUAUUUACAAUAGAACAUAUGAAAACAUAUCAAAUGUUUAAACUGAGUAAAUGUACCAUUUAAAGAAAUAAAUAAGGUAGUUUUGAAUUUGAUGGCCGUAAACAUGUCUCAAAAAAGUUGGGACGGGGGCAACAAAAGGCUGGAAAAGUAAGUGUUAGUAAAAAAGACACAGCUGGAGGUUAAUUGGGAACAGGUCAGUAACAUGACUGGGUAUAAAAAGAGUAUCUUCUAGAGGCGGAGUCUUUCAGAAGUAAAGAUGGGCAGAGGUUCACCAAUCUGCGAAAACCUGCAUCUACAAUUUGUGGAACAAUUUCAGAAUAAUGUUCCUCAAUGUAAAAUUGCGAAGACUAUGAAUAUCUCAUCAUCAACAGUACGUAAUAUCGUCAAAAGAUUCAGAGAAUCUGGUCAAAUCUCUGUGAAAUCUCCACCUUUUUGGAAUUGGGAUGUGUUGAACAACACAAAACAGAACCUUUUUUAUCAGACCACCCAAUUGUUAGGCGAGUAAAAGUAUAGAAACAGACAAGUCUUGAAGUAAAUUAAAGUAAAUAGCAGUUAAUAUUUGUUUGAUUAUCCCUUGCUUGCAAUAACUGCACCAAGUCUGCGACUCACUAACACCACCAAAUUACUGGUGUCUUCUUUUGUGGUGCUUUUCCAGCCUUCUACAGGAGCUUCUUUUAGUUGUUGUUGUUGUUUUUUUGUUUUGUUUGUUUUUUUUUUUU